AUUUCUAUAUCAAAAUCACCACAGUUUGUCAUCAUGCAUCACUGGCUGAAGGUCUCUCUUGUUAUUGCAACAACAGUUUUUGUGUGCAGAGGAAAAGAAGACACUGUUGACCAGUCGUCAACGUCUGAGACUGGACCAGAAGGAGGAACGGUGACACUCGGCUGUAGUUAUGACACAGCUGCCACUAAUGCCUACCUGUUCUGGUAUAAACAGAAACCUAAUGAUCAUCCUCAAUAUAUGCUGAAGAAAUAUUCAUUUGGAGGUGGUGAUGGAGAAAAGGAAUUUGAAACAAGAUUUCUGGCUGAACUCAACAAAACUACAAAGAUAGUUCCACUGAAAAUCAGGAACCUUCAAGUCUCAGACUCUGCUGUCUACUACUGCGCUCUGCAGCCCACAGUGACAGGAAACCCAACAACACUGUACAAAAACAUGCUCCACCAUGUGUAUACUAAAUGA
Alosa sapidissima (American shad) is the source of this 456-nucleotide non-coding RNA. NCBI's taxonomy places the organism in Eukaryota, Metazoa, Chordata, Actinopteri, Clupeiformes, Clupeidae. The record is from the annotation of a RefSeq genome assembly.